Molecule: long non-coding RNA, 613 nt
Organism: Boleophthalmus pectinirostris (great blue-spotted mudskipper)
Lineage: Eukaryota; Metazoa; Chordata; Actinopteri; Gobiiformes; Gobiidae
Exons: 3
Source: RefSeq, a predicted model, not a curated record
GCGCGGUUUACACGAGAAAACACAAUCCACACGCGGCGCACGAGACGGCGGUGUCCGCGCUGUAACUACGGAAGGAGACGUGGUCCGCGGGUUCUCAGGUUGAUGACGAUGAUGAAGGUUCAGCACGUGUGGCAGGUGCACAGAGUUGCGGUUGGUGGGUGGCUCGUCCUCGUCCACCUCGUCGAUCAGGGGGAUGUGCGUCUCGGAGUCGUCGAUCCUGAACUCGGGGUGAGUCAUGAAGUUGUGGAUGGAACUUCGUGAUUCAGGCGUCUCCAGUCCCUCGUAUGGAGACACACUGUCUCUGAAGGCAUUCACCACACGGAUCUGAGGACACAGACACACGGGACGUGAGAACAAGUCACAAACAAAUCUCUAGUAUGUGCUCGUCAUACAGUAUGUGCUGCUUGUUCAUUAUAGGUGCUUAUCAGUGCUCGAGCUGCUAUGAUCUCUGAAGUGAACCUGUGUGUCAGUGGAUCUGACUGCUCAGCCAAUGAUGUGACCUGUGUCUGUAUGCGGCUGAAUCCUCGGCACCACAGCACGCGGCUCUUCUUCAGCUCCAUCUCUGCGUGGUCGAUCUCAAAGUCGUCCUUCUGAGGCUCCAGCUCCUCCUCCG